CCGCACAAGCGGUGGAGCAUGUGGUUAAUUCGACGCAACGCGAGAACCUUACCAGGGCUUGACUAUCCCCUGACCGCGUAUGAAAGUACGUUUUCACCUCGGGUGACAGGGAGACAGGUGGUGCAUGGUUGUCGUCAGCUCGUGUCGUGAGAUGUUGGGUUAAGUCCCCGCAACGAGCGCAACCCCUACGUUUAGUUGCUAACGCGUGAAGGCGAGCACUCUAGACGAACUGCCGUUGACAAAACGGAGGAAGGUGGGAUGACGUCAAAUCAUCAUGCCCCUUAUGUUCUGGGCUACACACGUGCUACAAUGGCCGGUACAGACGGACGCAAAGCCGCGAGGUGGAGCAAAUCCUAAAAAGCCGGUCUCAGUUCGGAUUGCAGGCUGCAAUUCGCCUGCAUGAAGUCGGAAUCGCUAGUAAUCGCAGGUCAGCAUACUGCGGUGAAUACGUUCCCGGGCCUU
This 462-nucleotide ribosomal RNA is filed under the name uncultured Pelotomaculum sp. RNAcentral's name for it is "bacterial SSU rRNA". It matches the Rfam family "Bacterial small subunit ribosomal RNA", at positions 921 to 1382 of the family's 1533-position model. The record is from RNAcentral. Lineage: Bacteria; Bacillati; Bacillota; Clostridia; Eubacteriales; Desulfotomaculaceae.